UUUCCGUAGGUGAACCUGCGGAAGGAUCAUUAUUGAAAAAGACAAGACGCCCCGUUUUUUCGUAAAAUGGGUUCAAUACCCACAACCGUGUAUACCUUACCUUUUGUUGCUUUGGCAGGCCGCCUCCGGGCGUUGGCUUCGGCUGACAGCGCCUGCCAGAGGACCCAAACUCUGUGUUUAGUGAUGUCUGAGUAAUAUAUAAUAUUUUAAAACUUUCAACAACGGAUCUCUAGGUUCUG
RNAcentral lists this unclassified non-coding RNA (239 nucleotides) under plant metagenome. RNAcentral's name for it is "partial contains small subunit ribosomal RNA, internal transcribed spacer 1, and 5.8S ribosomal RNA". The record is from RNAcentral.